GUAGGGUGCGAGCGUUGUCCGGAAUUAUUGGGCGUAAAGGGCUCGUAGGCGGUUUGUCACGUCGGGAGUGAAAACUCGGGGCUUAACCCCGAGCCUGCUUCCGAUACGGGCUGACUAGAGGUAUGCAGGGGAGAACGGAAUUCCUGGUGUAGCGGUGAAAUGCGCAGAUAUCAGGAGGAACACCGGUGGCGAAGGCGGUUCUCUGGACAUUACCUGACGCUGAGGAGCGAAAGUGUGGGGAGCGAACAGGAUUAGAUACCCUGGUAGUCCACACCGUAAACGUUGGGCGCUAGGUGUGGGACUCAUUCCACGAGUUCCGUGCCGCAGCUAACGCAUUAAGCGCCCCGCCUGGGGAGUACGGCCGCAAGGCU
RNAcentral lists this ribosomal RNA (371 nucleotides) under uncultured bacterium. RNAcentral describes it as "bacterial SSU rRNA". It matches the Rfam family "Bacterial small subunit ribosomal RNA", at positions 527 to 895 of the family's 1533-position model. The record is from RNAcentral.